UGCAGUCGGACGGGAUUCGGGACAGAGCUUGCUUUGUCCUGAUGAGAGUGGCGCACGGGUGCGUAACGCGUGAGCAACCUGCCCCUGUCAGGGGUAUAGCCCCUCGAAAGAGGGACUAACACCGCAUGACGAUAUCCCCCGGCAUCGGGGGAUGUCCAAAUAUUCAUAGGACAGGGAUGGGCUCGCGUGGCAUUAGCUAGUUGGUUGGGUAACGGCUGACCAAGGCUACGAUGCCUAGGGGCUCUGAGAGGAGAAUCCCCCACACUGGUACUGAGACACGGACCAGACUCCUACGGGAGGCAGCAGUAAGGAAUAUUGGUCAAUGGAGGGAACUCUGAACCAGCCAUGCCGCGUGCAGGAGGAAGGCCCUACGGGUCGUAAACUGCUUUUGCCGGGGAACAACCCUAUCUACGUGUAGGUAGCUGAGUGUACCCGGAGAAUAAGGAUCGGCUAACUCCGUGCCAGCAGCCGCGGUAAUACGGAGGAUCCGAGCGUUAUCCGGAUUUAUUGGGUUUAAAGGGUGCGUAGGCGGCUUUCUAAGUCAGGGGUGAAAUACAGCGGCUCAACCGUUGCAGUGCCUUUGAUACUGGAGGGCUUGAAUGUGGUCGAAGGCGGCGGAAUGGGACAAGUAGCGGUGAAAUGCAUAGAUAUGUCCCAGAACCCCGAUAGCGAAGGCAGCUGCCUAGGCCAUAAUUGACGCUGAUGCACGAAAGCGUGGGGAUCGAACAGGAUUAGAUACCCUGGUAGUCCACGCCCUAAACGAUGGUGGCUCGGUGUCGGCGAUAUACAGUC
RNAcentral lists this ribosomal RNA (792 nucleotides) under uncultured bacterium. RNAcentral describes it as "bacterial SSU rRNA". It matches the Rfam family "Bacterial small subunit ribosomal RNA", at positions 56 to 838 of the family's 1533-position model. The record is from RNAcentral.